RNAcentral lists this ribosomal RNA (674 nucleotides) under uncultured fungus. Its description in RNAcentral is "SSU rRNA". It matches the Rfam family "Eukaryotic small subunit ribosomal RNA", at positions 802 to 1499 of the family's 1831-position model. The record is from RNAcentral. Lineage: Eukaryota; Fungi.
UUUUAGCAUGGAAUAAUGAAUAGGACGUGUGGUUCUAUUUUGUUGGUUUCUAGGACCGCCGUAAUGAUUAAUAGGGACAGUCGGGGGCAUCAGUAUUCAAUUGUCAGAGGUGAAAUCCUUGGAUUUAUUGAAGACUAACUACUGCGAAAGCAUUUGCCAAGGAUGUUUUCAUUAAUCAGGAACGAAAGUUAGGGGAUCGAAGACGAUCAGAUACCGUCGUAGUCUUAACCAUAAACUAUGCCGACUAGGGAUCGGACGAUGUUAUUUUUUGACGCGUUCGGCACCUUACGAGAAAUCAAAGUGCUUGGGCUCCAGGGGGAGUAUGGUCGCAAGGUUGAAACUUAAAGAAAUUGACGGAAGGGCACCACCAGGGGUGGAGCCUGCGGCUUAAUUUGACUCAACACGGGGAAACUCACCAGGUCCAGACACAAUGAGGAUUGACAGAUUGAGAGCUCUUUCUUGAUUUUGUGGGUGGUGGUGCAUGGCCGUUCUUAGUUGGUGGAGUGAUUUGUCUGCUUAAUUGCGAUAACGAACGAGACCUUAACCUGCUAAAUAGCCCGUAUUGCUUUGGCAGUACGCUGGCUUCUUAGAGGGACUAUCGGCUCAAGCCGAUGGAAGUUUGAGGCAAUAACAGGUCUGUGAUGCCCUUAGAUGUUCUGGGCCGCACGCGCGCU